Molecule: ribosomal RNA, 489 nt
Filed under: uncultured bacterium
Lineage: Bacteria
Description: partial 16S ribosomal RNA
Rfam family: Bacterial small subunit ribosomal RNA
Source: RNAcentral
GAUGAACGCUAGCUACAGGCUUAACACAUGCAAGUCGAGGGGCAGCAUGAUUGAAGCUUGCUUCAAUCGAUGGCGACCGGCGCACGGGUGAGUAACACGUAUCCAACCUGCCGAUAACUCGGGGAUAGCCUUUCGAAAGAAAGAUUAAUACCCGAUAGUAUAGUAUUUUCGCAUGGUUUCACUAUUAAAGAACUUCGGUUAUCGAUGGGGAUGCGUUCCAUUAGAUAGUUGGCGGGGUAACGGCCCACCAAGUCAACGAUGGAUAGGGGUUCUGAGAGGAAGGUCCCCCACAUUGGAACUGAGACACGGUCCAAACUCCUACGGGAGGCAGCAGUGAGGAAUAUUGGUCAAUGGACGAGAGUCUGAACCAGCCAAGUAGCGUGAAGGAUGACUGCCCUAUGGGUUGUAAACUUCUUUUAUACGGGAAUAAAGUGGAGUAUGCAUACUCCUUUGUAUGUACCGUAUGAAUAAGGAUCGGCUAACUCCGUG